UACAGAGGUCUCAAGCGUUGUUCGGAUUCAUUGGGCGUAAAGGGUGCGUAGGCGGCGCGGUAAGUCGGGUGUGAAAUCUCGGAGCUUAACUCCGAAACUGCAUUCGAUACUGCCGUGCUUGAGGACUGGAGAGGAGACUGGAAUUUACGGUGUAGCGGUGAAAUGCGUAGAUAUCGUAAGGAAGACCAGUGGCGAAGGCGGGUCUCUGGGCAAUUCCUGACGCUGAGGCGCGAAAGCGUGGGGAGCAAACGGG
This 253-nucleotide ribosomal RNA is filed under the name uncultured bacterium. RNAcentral's name for it is "partial 16S ribosomal RNA". It matches the Rfam family "Bacterial small subunit ribosomal RNA", at positions 524 to 776 of the family's 1533-position model. The record is from RNAcentral.